GAUGAACGCUGGCGGCGUGCUUAACACAUGCAAGUCGAACGGAAAGGCCCAAGCUUGCUUGGGUACUCGAGUGGCGAACGGGUGAGUAACACGUGGGUGAUCUGCCCUGCACUUCGGGAUAAGCCUGGGAAACUGGGUCUAAUACCGGAUAGGACCACUUCUUGGAUGUUGUGGUGGAAAGUUUUUUCGGUGUGGGAUGAGCUCGCGGCCUAUCAGCUUGUUGGUGGGGUAAUGGGCUACCAAGGCGUCGACGGGUAGCCGGCCUGAGAGGGUGUACGGCCACAUUGGGACUGAGAUACGGCCCAGACUCCUACGGGAGGCAGCAGUGGGGAAUAUUGCACAAUGGGCGCAAGCCUGAUGCAGCGACGCCGCGUGGGGGAUGACGGCCUUCGGGUUGUAAACUCCUUUCGCUAGGGACGAAGCGUUUUGUGACGGUACCUGGAGAAGAAGCACCGGCUAACUACGUG
RNAcentral lists this ribosomal RNA (467 nucleotides) under uncultured bacterium. RNAcentral's name for it is "partial 16S ribosomal RNA". It matches the Rfam family "Bacterial small subunit ribosomal RNA", at positions 28 to 507 of the family's 1533-position model. The record is from RNAcentral.